AUUGAACGCUGGCGGCAUGCUUUACACAUGCAAGUCGAACGGUAACAGGUCUUCGGAUGCUGACGAGUGGCGAACGGGUGAGUAAUGUAUCGGAACGUGCCCAGUAGUGGGGGAUAACUACUCGAAAGAGUGGCUAAUACCGCAUGAGAACUGAGGUUGAAAGUGGGGGGACCUUCGGGCCUCAUGCCAUCAGAUGUGCCCAGAUGGGAUUAGCUAGUAGGUGAGGUAAUGGCUCACCUAGGCGACGAUCCCUAGCUGGUCUGAGAGGAUGACCAGCCACACUGGAACUGAGACACGGUCCAGACUCCUACGGGAGGCAGCAGUGGGGAAUAUUGCACAAUGGGCGCAAGCCUGAUGCAGCAACGCCGCGUGAGGGAUGAAGGCCUCGGUUGUAACUCUUUAUCAGGAGAAGCGAAGUGACGGUACC
This 427-nucleotide ribosomal RNA is filed under the name uncultured bacterium. RNAcentral describes it as "bacterial SSU rRNA". It matches the Rfam family "Bacterial small subunit ribosomal RNA", at positions 30 to 479 of the family's 1533-position model. The record is from RNAcentral.